Molecule: ribosomal RNA, 744 nt
Filed under: Salmonella enterica subsp. enterica serovar Enteritidis
Lineage: Bacteria; Pseudomonadati; Pseudomonadota; Gammaproteobacteria; Enterobacterales; Enterobacteriaceae
Description: partial 23S ribosomal RNA
Rfam family: Bacterial large subunit ribosomal RNA
Source: RNAcentral
UAACACUAACUGGAGGACCGAACCGACUAAUGUUGAAAAAUUAGCGGAUGACCUGUGGCUGGGGGUGAAAGGCCAAUCAAACCGGGAGAUAGCUGGUUCUCCCCGAAAGCUAUUUAGGUAGCGCCUCGUGAAUUCAUCUCCGGGGGUAGAGCACUGUUUCGGCUAGGGGGCCAUCCCGGCUUACCAACCCGAUGCAAACUGCGAAUACCGGAGAAUGUUAUCACGGGAGACACACGGCGGGUGCUAACGUCCGUCGUGAAGAGGGAAACAACCCAGACCGCCAGCUAAGGUCCCAAAGUCAUGGUUAAGUGGGAAACGAUGUGGGAAGGCCCAGACAGCCAGGAUGUUGGCUUAGAAGCAGCCAUCAUUUAAAGAAAGCGUAAUAGCUCACUGGUCGAGUCGGCCUGCGCGGAAGAUGUAACGGGGCUAAACCAUGCACCGAAGCUGCGGCAGCGACACUGUGUGUUGUUGGGUAGGGGAGCGUUCUGUAAGCCUGUGAAGGUGUGUCGUGAGGCAUGCUGGAGGUAUCAGAAGUGCGAAUGCUGACAUAAGUAACGAUAAAGCGGGUGAAAAGCCCGCUCGCCGGAAGACCAAGGGUUCCUGUCCAACGUUAAUCGGGGCAGGGUGAGUCGACCCCUAAGGCGAGGCCGAAAGGCGUAGUCGAUGGGAAACGGGUUAAUAUUCCCGUACUUGGUGUUACUGCGAAGGGGGGACGGAGAAGGCUAUGUUGGCCGGGCGACGGUU